AGUGGUGGAGCAUGUGGUUUAAUUCGAUGCUACGCGAAGAACCUUACCAGCUCUUGACAUCUUCUGCCAACCCAAGAGAUUGGGCGUUCCCUUCGGGGACAGAAUGACAGGUGGUGCAUGGUUGUCGUCAGCUCGUGUCGUGAGAUGUUGGGUUAAGUCCCGCAACGAGCGCAACCCUUAUUAUUAGUUGCCAGCAUUUAGUUGGGCACUCUAGUGAGACUGCCGGUGAUAAACCGGAGGAAGGUGGGGACGACGUCAAAUCAUCAUGCCCCUUAUGAGCUGGGCUACACACGUGCUACAAUGGAUGGUACAACGAGUCGCGAAACCGCGAGGUCAAGCUAAUCUCUUAAAGCCAUUCUCAGUUCGGAUUGCAGGCUGCAACUCGCCUGCAUGAAGUUGGAAUCACUAGUAAUCGUGGAUCAGCAUGCCACGGUGAAUACGUUCCCGGGCCUUGUACACACCGCCCGUCACACCAUGAGAGUUUGUAACACCCAAAGACGAUGGGG
This 506-nucleotide ribosomal RNA is filed under the name Apilactobacillus kunkeei. RNAcentral describes it as "bacterial SSU rRNA". It matches the Rfam family "Bacterial small subunit ribosomal RNA", at positions 928 to 1435 of the family's 1533-position model. Lineage: Bacteria; Bacillati; Bacillota; Bacilli; Lactobacillales; Lactobacillaceae. The record is from RNAcentral.